CGUGCUUAACACAUGCAAGUCGAACGAUGAAGCCUAGCUUGCUAGGUGGAUUAGUGGCGCACGGGUGAGUAAUAUAUAGAUAACGUGCCUCUUAGUCUGGGAUAGCCAUUGGAAACGAUGAUUAAUACUGGAUACUCCUUCUCUUUAUAAUUAGAGUUGGGAAAGUUUUUCGCUAAGAGAUCGGUCUAUAUCCCAUCAGCUAGUUGGUAGUGUAAGAGACUACCAAGGCAAUGACGGGUAGCGGGUUUGAGAGGAUGAUCCGCCACACUGGUACUGAGACACGGACCAGACUCCUACGGGAGGCAGCAGUGAGGAAUAUUGCACAGUGGAGGAAACUCUGAUGCAGCAACGCCGCGUGGAGGAUGACGCAUUUCGGUGUGUAAACUCCUUUUAUCAAGGAAGAAAAUGACGGUACUUGAUGAAUAAGCACCGGCUAACUCCGUGCCAGCAGCCGCGGUAAUACGGAGGGUGCAAGCGUUACUCGGAAUCACUGGGCGUAAAGGACACGUAGGCGGGAAGCCAAGUCUGAUGUGAAAUCCUACAGCUUAACUGUAGAACUGCAUUGGAAACUGGUUACCUAGAGUAUGGGAGGGGGAGAUGGAAUUAGUGGUGUAGGGGUAAAAUCCGUAGAUAUCACUAGGAAUACCGAAAGCGAAGGCGAUCUCCUGGAACAAUACUGACGCUAAGGUGUGAAAGCGUGGGGAGCAAACGGGAUUAGAUACCCCGGUAGUCCACGCCCUAAACGAUGAACACUAGUCGUCGGGAUGCUAGUCAUCUCGGUGAUGCACUUAACAGAUUAAGUGUUCCGCCUGGGGAGUGCGGUCGCAAGAUUAAAACUCAAAGGAAUAGACGGGGACCCGCACAAGUGGUGGAGCAUGUGGUUUAAUUCGAAGAUACGCGAAGAACCUUACCUAGCCUUGACAUUGAAAGAACACUUUAGAGAUAGAGUGGUGCCCUUCGGGGAACUUGAAAACAGGUGCUGCACGGCUGUCGUCAGCUCGUGUCGUGAGAUGU
Molecule: ribosomal RNA, 1014 nt
Filed under: uncultured bacterium
Lineage: Bacteria
Description: bacterial SSU rRNA
Rfam family: Bacterial small subunit ribosomal RNA
Source: RNAcentral